CCUACGGGUGGCAGCAGUGAGGAAUAUUGGUCAAUGGACGAGAGUCUGAACCAGCCAAGUAGCGUGAAGGAUGACUGCCCUAUGGGUUGUAAACUUCUUUUAUAUGGGAAUAAAAUGUUCCACGUGUGGGAUUUUGUAUGUACCAUAUGAAUAAGGAUCGGCUAACUCCGUGCCAGCAGCCGCGGUAAUACGGAGGAUCCGAGCGUUAUCCGGUUUUAUUGGGUUUAAAGGGAGCGUAGGUGGAUUGUUAAGUCAGUUGUGAAAGUUUGCGGCUCAACCGUAAAAUUGCAGUUGAAACUGGCAGUCUUGAGUACAGUAGAGGUGGGCGGAAUUCGUGGUGUAGCGGUGAAAUGCUUAGAUAUCACGAAGAACUCCGAUUGCGAAGGCAGUUCACUGGACUGCAACUGACACUGAGGCUCGAAAGUGUGGGUAUCAAACAGGAUUAGAUACCCCUGUAUC
Molecule: ribosomal RNA, 459 nt
Filed under: uncultured bacterium
Lineage: Bacteria
Description: partial 16S ribosomal RNA
Rfam family: Bacterial small subunit ribosomal RNA
Source: RNAcentral